Long non-coding RNA from Anneissia japonica, 1032 nucleotides. RefSeq lists it as uncharacterized. NCBI's taxonomy places the organism in Eukaryota, Metazoa, Echinodermata, Crinoidea, Comatulida, Comatulidae. The record is from RefSeq and is a predicted model, not a curated record. The transcript is spliced from 2 exons.
AAUCAACAAGGAACUAUCAGUAAAGUUGUAGAAUUAGUACAGGAGACGGUCGAUGACGUGUAAUACAGAGAUAUCUCAACUAAUGUUUUAUCGCUUUCUUCAACUCUGCAGAGAGCUAGAAAGAUCAGUUGACUUUACUGGGUGCAAUGGCGGAUCCAUUGGCGGGGGAUAGUUUUCCACCAAAGUUUUUACUAUUGUGUAUUUUAUUGUACUGUGCUGGUUAAUUUUUGUUGUUGUUAUUGUACUGUGUGUUUGCAGGGCCAUAUUGUAAGAUGUUUUAAAUAAAUAAAAAAUAAAUAAAAUAAAUAAAUAAAAUAAAAAUAAAUAUAUAAGAUCCAGGAAUUUGAAACUGAAGGUACCCAGGGGAAGGGGCUUUUAAAGAUAGAGGAUGUAUGCCAGGUAUGGCUGAGGGAAGGAAUCUAUGAUCAUGGCACUUCUAGAUGGCCGGAAAUGGCACUCUCAGACUUUAAUUGAAAUAUAAUUUUCUGUUUUUACUCCAUUUUUUCAUAAUUAUGAAAAGAAAAAAAAUAGGGGGAAGGGGAAUAGCCAGCUGAGUCCCCAUUAAAUCUCCCACUCGGGUGGAUCCAUCUGAGAAUAUUACUAAAUAACUGAUAUCCGAUCAAAACUCGUUCCGAAGACGUUAGGUCUAUAGCAAUAUAUAUUACGAAAGAGGAGUUGUACCCGUGGCUGGCUAAGAAGUAAAGAAAAAAAAAACAACACUGAUCAUCAUCAUUGUCAUCAUCACUGUCACAAUCACCAGCAUCAUCACCAUCGUCAUCAUCAUCAUAACUUACCAUCGAAGCAUAAGUAAAAUGAAAACCUCUCCCAGUUGAAGGCUGGCAUUGUCAAUAUAAGCUUUCCUCCUCUAUUAUAUUACUGUAUAUCUAGCGCAUGUAUAAGAUGGGCUGCGUUCAUCCAGGAGCCGACUCCUCUUUAUUUUUGCAGUAUACUGUAUUAAAUUACUGAAAUUCUGCAUUUGACUUUGUUCAGUUAAAUACGACGAUACCUAAUCAAUCAAAUGAAAUAUGUAAA